This 65-nucleotide non-coding RNA is filed under the name Streptomyces phage R4. Lineage: Duplodnaviria; Heunggongvirae; Uroviricota; Caudoviricetes. The record is from RNAcentral.
AGCCGAAACCGUCGAGAGGCGGUCGGGGCGGGAUGGUUCCCGCCUCCUGAUGAUGGCAGCCAACU